This 453-nucleotide ribosomal RNA is filed under the name Camellia saluenensis. Its description in RNAcentral is "eukaryotic LSU rRNA". It matches the Rfam family "Eukaryotic large subunit ribosomal RNA", at positions 2927 to 3401 of the family's 3401-position model. The record is from RNAcentral. Lineage: Eukaryota; Viridiplantae; Streptophyta; Magnoliopsida; Ericales; Theaceae.
GAUUGUUCACCCACCAAUAGGGAACGUGAGCUGGGUUUAGACUGUCAUGAGACAAAUAGUUUUACCCUACUGAUGACAGUGCCGCAAUGGUAAUUCAACCUAGUACGAGAGGAACCAUUGAUUCGCACAAUUGGUCAUUGCAUUUCAUUGAAAAGACAGUGGCGCGAAGCUACUGUACGCUGGAUUAUGACUGAACGCCUCGAAGUCAGAAUCCGGGCUAGAAGCGAUGCAUGUGCCUGCGGCCCAUUUGCCGACCCGCAGUAGGGGCCGUCUGACCCCCAAAGGCACGUGUCGUUGGUGAAGCCUGCACGGAGUACAAUUCCUAUCUCGAGCAACGGGUAGAAUCCUUUGCAGACGACUUAAAUACACAACGGGGUAUUGUAAGUGGCAGAGUGGCCUUGCUGCCAUGAUCCACUAAGAUUUAGCCUUGCGUCGCUCCGAUUCGUCCCUCCC